AAAGGAAACAAAUAACAAAGACAAAGCCCAGCCCAAAGAAAGCGCACGUUAUGCCUGUGACGGGCGUCACAAAGGUUGUGACGAGCGUCACACUAAGCACACUCUUGUGACGAGCGUCACACAUGGUGUGACGGACGUCACACCAUUCCCCUAUAUUUUUGGCACUAGGAACUCAACUGACCACGUUGAAAGCUAUUUCCAC
RNAcentral lists this long non-coding RNA (202 nucleotides) under Lathyrus oleraceus (garden pea). RNAcentral describes it as "Pisum sativum (pea) long non-coding RNA (PSAT_LNC017053)". Lineage: Eukaryota; Viridiplantae; Streptophyta; Magnoliopsida; Fabales; Fabaceae. The record is from RNAcentral.